UACGGAGGGUGCAAGCGUUAAUCGGAAUUACUGGGCGUAAAGCGCGCGUAGGCGGCUGAUUAAGUCGGAUGUGAAAGCCCCGGGCUCAACCUGGGAACUGCAUACGAUACUGGUCGGCUAGAGUAUGAGAGAGGGAGGUAGAAUUCCACGUGUAGCGGUGAAAUGCGUAGAUAUGUGGAGGAAUACCGGUGGCGAAGGCGGCCUCCUGGCUUAAUACUGACGCUGAGGUGCGAAAGCGUGGGGAGCAAACAGC
Molecule: ribosomal RNA, 253 nt
Filed under: uncultured bacterium
Lineage: Bacteria
Description: partial 16S ribosomal RNA
Rfam family: Bacterial small subunit ribosomal RNA
Source: RNAcentral